This 775-nucleotide ribosomal RNA is filed under the name uncultured Neocallimastigales. RNAcentral describes it as "partial large subunit ribosomal RNA". It matches the Rfam family "Eukaryotic large subunit ribosomal RNA", at positions 24 to 649 of the family's 3401-position model. The record is from RNAcentral. Lineage: Eukaryota; Fungi; Neocallimastigomycota; Neocallimastigomycetes; Neocallimastigales.
UAUGUGAUCGUCUCUCGCAUAUCAAUAAGCGGAGGAAAAGAAACUAACAAGGAUUCCCCUAGUAACGGCGAGUGAAGCGGGAAGAGCUCAAAUUUGAAGUCUUAAAGGGUUUCCCUUUACGAAUUGUAGUUUAAAGAAGUGUUUUCUGUUGAGGUUUUGGUAAAAGUUCUUUGGAAUAGGACAUCAUAGAGGGUGAGAAUCCCGUAUUUGACCUUUACUUUCAACUUUGUGAUACACUUUCAAAGAGUCGGAUUGUUUGGGAAUGCAGUCCAAAAUGGGUGGUAAAUUUCAUCUAAAGCUAAAUAUUGGCGAGAGACCGAUAGCGAACAAGUACCGUGAGGGAAAGAUGAAAAGAACUUUGAAAAGAGAGUUAAACAGUACGUGAAAUUGUCAAAAGGGAAGCGUUUGACACCAGUGUUGUAUUUCUGAAAAUCAAUUAAAGAACUGUUUAUGCUAAGUUGUUUAGACUUUAUCAGCUAUCUGUUUAGUUUUGAGCUUUUCUUUAAUGCACUUUUCAGUUAACAAGUCAACAUCAAUUUCUUUUGCUGUAAAAAAGCUUGAGGAAGGUGGCUUGAGAUUCGUCUUAAGUGUUUAUAGCCUCUUGCCUAUGCAGUCGGAGAGAUUGAGGUCUGCAGCGUAGAUCCUUCGGGGCUAAAUGCAUUUGUGCUAAGUUAUAAGCAUUUCAUAGACAACUUGUUGACUAUGAUUUGUCUUGUAGCUUACUCGCUUACGUUAUUUUACCUACGCUUAGGAUGUUGAGUAGCGACAUACGCAC